RNAcentral lists this long non-coding RNA (1903 nucleotides) under Piliocolobus tephrosceles (Ugandan red Colobus). RNAcentral describes it as "lncRNA (ENSPTEG00000024645.1)". Lineage: Eukaryota; Metazoa; Chordata; Mammalia; Primates; Cercopithecidae. The record is from RNAcentral.
AUCUGUUAAGUCCAUUUGUUCCCCCUUGGGAGGCUAAGUCAGGAGAAUUGCUUGAACCUGGGAGGCAGAGGUUGCAGUGGGCUGAGAUUACGCCACUACGCUCCAGCCUGGGUGACAGGGUGAAACUCCAUCUCAAAAAAAAAAAAAAAAAAAAAUUGGAGGUGGGGCCUUUGGGAGGUAAUUAGAAUAAGAGUCCGUCAUAAAGGUAGGGGCUUCAUGAUGGAAUUAAUGCUCCUAUAAAAAGUGGAAGACCCAGGAAAAUGAUCUCUAUCUCCUUUUUUCUGUCUUGCCACCCCCUCCCAACCCUCCACCAUGUGCAGAUACAGCAAGAAAGCAGGCAUCUGCAAGAAAGCCCUCACCAGGACUAAAUCAGCUGACACCUCCACCUUGGACUUCCCAGCUUCCAGAACUGUGAGAUAUAGAUUUCUAUUGCUUAAGUCACCAAGGCUAUGGUGUUUUUAAUAGCAGCCCAAGCCCAGGAAUACAUCAUCUGACUCACUGCUUUGAAUGAAGCUCUUCAGUUUCUCCAUCAACUUAGCUGGCAGCUCCUGUCCCCAGCAGCAUCAGAAGCCCCAACAAAAGAGCUCCAGGAGGGGCUCAACCUGCACAGGGGGCAGCCUCAAUGUCAGGUCCUGGAUGGCAGGGGCAGUCUGAUGGAAUGCGCGCUGUCCAGGUUCCUGCCCUCUCUGGAAGCUUGAUAAUGAGGAACCCUGAUGUGUCACUACGGAGGAGGCUGUGGGAAAAAGCUGUUUCUCAGGGCUGCCUGGAUCACAAGCUGGAGCUGGAGGACGUGCCUGGCAGGGGAGUGACCCCCAUGGGAAAGAGCAGGGUUCAGCAGAGUGACAGCAGCCGGGACCCAGAGAAGCCAGUGAGGUUUGACUCUUAGAAGCCAAAGACCAGCAGCUCUUCAGCAGAAGAUUUGGGCCCUGGGCUGGCACUGUCCUGCAGCAGGGGCAGGGUGGACAGGAAUGGCUGCAUAUCAGGCCUAAUUCCUUGUCAUCCUCUCAGGCAUUGCCACUGAAGAUGGAGAAUUUUGUUCAGAGGCCCAGCCUGGGCACAUGGGAGGAACCACCUUAUUAAAAUUAAUUUAAGAAAACAGUAUGCAUGCUUUAUUCUUCUCAAAUAAUUAUUAAUGUCAUGUUUUACAGUGUAUCUCUUAAAGGAGUGGUGAGAAUCAUCUACAUAAAGUGUGUUUUAGGUGGUCUUUUCUAUAAUUGCAGCUUUCACAUGUUCUUAGAGAAACCGUUUUCUUUGGGGACACACAGGCAGUAUCUCUGUGUUCAUUUCUACUGGGAAAUCUUUAUGCAGGGUGGAGAGAGUCACAUUUACUAAUGAGAGAUGGAAAGCAUCUAACUACCAGAAAAAGUGUCCAAAUGCUGCUGGUAUGAUCUUGGGGCUGCAGGUAGAGGUCAGUUUAAGGAGGUAUCAGGGAAAGUAAUUUUUAAAGCCCCCACCCCUUUUUUUUACACAAUCAUGGGCAGAAGCCACCACCUGGACCCACCACAUGUUGGAAUGCAUGAGGGACAUAAAUAGAGGUCAGUAAAUUUAGAAUGAAAUCCAAGAGUGGGCAAGAGGUUUGAGAGGUCGACAGGUGUGAGAGGUGAAUGUGUGAAUGGUGAGAAUGUUCAAAACAUCUUCUUUCUCCAUAAUAAGAGAGCAUUUAGACCCCUGAGUCAGACAGUGUCCAGGCCAGGGGGAGCAGGAUGUUGUCAGCUCUCCUUGCCAAAAGUGAGACUCCAGCAAUGUCCAGUUACUUGGUCCAGUUUGGGAUUUAUUCCUAUUUUAAAAAUGGUCCAACAGUAUACAAUUUUGAAAAUAUGCAAAAAUCCCUAUGCUACCAUUCAUAGAUAGCCAAGAUGGCCCUAAGAUAGUGAGAGAAUCAGAAUGGGGUUUGGGUUUACGU